CGUUCAGGAAUUACCUUCAUCAUUAUCUACGUUAGUAGACGUAAGAAUGUAAUUAUCGA
This 59-nucleotide non-coding RNA is filed under the name unclassified sequences. The record is from RNAcentral.